UAAAUACAGAUAAGUUGCAUUGGUCACACUUUUUUAUUACGUUCAGAAAUAAUGUAAAACAUUGAUGAAUAAAACCAAAUAUUUACAAACAUUAUAUUUUCUAUAAUCAUGUAUUUAGUUCCUUUCACUCCACAACAAAUCCUUUAAAUGUAACAAUAUUCAGAACAGAACAAGAAUGAAAAAUAUAAGAAUAAAACAAACAUAAAUUAAAGUGUCAGUCAUUAUAAACAACAUUUGUUAUAAAUGACUGAUAAACUGAAAUAAACUGAAACUACUAGUACAGUAUGUGGGAAAUGCUUAAGCUCACCUACCUUUCUCAUUAGGCAUAAAUCCAUGUUUUGUGAACUUGAUGUUUAUUGUAUUUAAUAAGUCACAGCAUGUUUAGGUUAAUUAAAAGCAUGUGACUUGUAUUCUGGAAAAUACAGUAAUUUAAAUACGUAUUUAUUUAAAAUCCAAUCCAUAGCACAAGUAAUAUUUUUAUAGAAAUAAUACAUUUAAUGGAAUACUAGAAAAUAAAGAGUAGUCCCUUUACUUGCCUGUUAACAAAAGAAAAGUUUCAAAAGAAGAAGCAUAGCAACAUAGCUUGUUUUUCUGUAUUGUGGCAUACAUCAGAGUAAAUAGAUUAUUCAAAAGGGUAAGAAUGUGGAGUGGGGUUCAAUUUAUCGGUCUUUGAUUGGAUGGAGUCUGGACGUACAGCAUAUGUCACCAGAGAGAAGUCUUUCAAGUGGAAGAUUGAGUUAUGACAUUUUGAUUUAAAACUAUUAGAUAAAAAAAAAAAAAAAAAUCAGUGCAGUGGUGAAUGUUUCUAGGAUUACAACAGACUUCUGGAAAGUCAGAGAAACUCUCUUCUAUCAUUUGCUAAACAUUAAUUUUCAUUGUCAAAUGCGUGUGCAAAAUAACCACUGAUUUGUCUUAGUUUUCCCUUUUGUUUCUUCAUUUUAAUUAAAUAUAUUUAAACCUAACAGCUAAUCAUUUGACUUUUUUUCUUGGUUUUAGUUGGAUGGGCUACUCCCAAAGUUUCUAGGCUCCCCAAACUUGAGCCUCUUGGAGAUACAAGUCAUUCUGAUUUCUAUGGCAAACCUCUCCCACCUGUAGCAAUUAGGCAGAGGCCGAACAGCGAUACUCAUGAUGUAAUUUCCUAACACUACCUUUCGCACCCUCUCCCUCCCAUCCUCCUUGCUGGUUCACAGUUCUUAAGGGUCCCAACCAAUCAAAGUAUUGUUUUGUUCUUAUCUUCAAGCACGGGCAGUGUAGUAAUCUACGCGGAUCUAAUUCCCCAUAAGCGAGGAAUUGAUACCCAAUCGGCAUACCCAGAUGGAUCACAUGAACUCAACCAACCAAUGACUGAUGGUCAUCGGAAGCUGUUUCCUGGCCAGUGUUUGAGAUGAAGGGAUGUGGACAUUCACUGUUAGACAUAUUCGUAUAAUGUUCUUAUUUCUGUAGUUUUAUCAAAAUACUUAAAUUCAGUAUUAACAGACAUUUCCAUGUUACAGACCUAUUUUUUAAGAGAAUUGAAAAAUAUGUAAAUAUAUAAAAGUUUAAAUUUGUGUACUUGAAAUUGUAAAAACAUGUUCUUUAUGGUCCAUUUGCAUAUAUUAAGCUCGUGUGCAUAUGAAAUGUGCUGUUCAUUUCGACACAGUUUGCCUUUAAAAUAUCAGAAAAUAUCUUCUUUUUUUUUCUCAGCAGCAUCUAUAAGUUUAUACACUACGCUGUCUUAAUUUUGAGAACAACAUUCAUACUCUCAAAUAGCACCAGCAACAGAUAAAGAGAUCUUGAUUAAUGUAUUAUGACAUAUACUGUAAAAACAUGCUUUCAUAUUUAUUUUAUGCUAUUGCGAUUUUUAUAAUUUACAUUGUUGGAUGUUUUGUUUUGUAUUUUACCCCACACAUGAGAACUUCUGUCUAUCAUCCAGUUUGCUCUGCUUGCAGUACCUGCGCCUUUUGCAACCCGUUUACACUUAGUAUGAAUGACAAAGAAAGAGAGAAAGUUUAUUCUGUUAAUUUUCACUAUCACUCAACACAUUUCCGUGUUAUUAUUAAAACUGUUUGAUAAUGCACACAUUUGCACAACUGUUAGCGGCGCCUUCUGCUGGCACAUGCCGUAACUACACCAUCACGGUUUUGUUCAUUAAAACAAAGAGAGUUGAACUAUUUCGAUGCUUUCUGUAUAAUUCAUGGAAAAAAUAAAAAUGCCUAUACUUA
Non-coding RNA from Pimephales promelas (fathead minnow), 2201 nucleotides. The record is from RefSeq and is a predicted model, not a curated record. Lineage: Eukaryota; Metazoa; Chordata; Actinopteri; Cypriniformes; Leuciscidae.